RNAcentral lists this transfer RNA (73 nucleotides) under Rhabdosargus sarba (goldlined seabream). RNAcentral's name for it is "tRNA-Asp". It matches the Rfam family "tRNA". From Rfam's summary of the family: Transfer RNA (tRNA) molecules are approximately 80 nucleotides in length. Their secondary structure includes four short double-helical elements and three loops (D, anti-codon, and T loops). Lineage: Eukaryota; Metazoa; Chordata; Actinopteri; Spariformes; Sparidae. The record is from RNAcentral.
AAGGCACUAGUAAAGUAGAUUAUUACACUGCUUUGUCAAGGCAGAAUCGUGAGUUUGAACCCCGCGCGCCUUA